GUUUGAUCAUGGCUCAGAUUGAACGCUGGCGGAAUGCUUUACACAUGCAAGUCGAGCGGCAGCGCGGGGGCAACCCUGGCGGCGAGCGGCGAACGGGUGAGUAAUGCAUCGGAACGUACCCAGUCGUGGGGGAUAACUGUCCGAAAGGACAGCUAAUACCGCAUACGUCCUGAGGGAGAAAGCGGGGGACCGUAAGGCCUCGCGCGAUUGGAGCGGCCGAUGCCGGAUUAGCUAGUUGGUAGGGUAAAGGCUUACCAAGGCGACGAUCCGUAGCUGGUCUGAGAGGAUGAUCAGCCACACUGGGACUGAGACACGGCCCAGACUCCUACGGGAGGCAGCAGUGGGGAAUUUUGGACAAUGGGGGCAACCCUGAUCCAGCCAUUCCGCGUGAGUGAAGAAGGCCUUCGGGUUGUAAAGCUCUUUCGGCAGGAACGAAACGGUGGGGGCUAAUAUCCUCUACUAAUGACGGUACCUGAAGAAGAAGCACCGGCUAACUACGUGCCAGCAGCCGCGGUAAUACGUAGGGUGUGAGCGUUAAUCGGAAUUACUGGGCGUAAAGCGUGCGCAGGCGGUUUUGUAAGACAGAUGUGAAAUCCCUGGGCUUAACCUGGGAACUGCGUUUGUGACUGCAAGACUCGAGUGUGGCAGAAGGGGGUGGAAUUCCACGUGUAGCAGUGAAAUGCGUAGAGAUGUGGAGGAACACCGAUGGCGAAGGCAGCCCCCUGGGCCAACACUGACGCUCAUGCACGAAAGCGUGGGUAGCAAACAGGAUUAGAUACCCUGGUAGUCCACGCCCUAAACGAUGCCAACUAGGUGUUGGGGAAGGAGACUUCCUUAGUGCCGUAGCUAACGCGUGAAGUUGGCCGCCUGGGGAGUACGG
This 880-nucleotide ribosomal RNA is filed under the name uncultured bacterium. RNAcentral describes it as "bacterial SSU rRNA". It matches the Rfam family "Bacterial small subunit ribosomal RNA", at positions 11 to 885 of the family's 1533-position model. The record is from RNAcentral.